Molecule: long non-coding RNA, 1881 nt
Organism: Sarcophilus harrisii (Tasmanian devil)
Lineage: Eukaryota; Metazoa; Chordata; Mammalia; Dasyuromorphia; Dasyuridae
Exons: 3
Source: RefSeq, a predicted model, not a curated record
CUUUUGUGAAGGCAGACGGGGGCCCGGGGACGGCUGCCCCCGGCUCUUCGGCGGAAAGCUAGGGCCUCAUGACCCCCAGGGUCCCCGCCACAUUCAUCUCCAUGGGCCGGCGCGCCUCCUGUCCUGGCUCCGCACGCAGCCCCACAGCCUGACCCAGCCUUCCUCCAAAGACACCUCCCAAUCCCCCAGCUGCGCUCCGAAGCCUGGACCAGGGUCUGGGAUGCCGCGGCUUGGGGAGAGAGGACGGAUGUCUGUGGAUCAUGAGCACGAGGACCCGAUUCAAACUGAAAGAGUGGGGACCAUUUGGAGGGGGAGGGAAGGGUCUGUAAUUUCCCUGGGGCUGGGUCAGGGAGGAGCUGGGGUGAGGUGAGGAGAGAAAAAGGAUGACAGGAUGAAGCCAGCGGGCAACAGGGUGAUGAGGGGGACAGGUAGGAGAAAGGGCUUAAUGCAAGCAGCAAGACAGAGACACGGACGCGGGCUCCGAGCUCAGGCUCAGAUGCAGAAAGGCUUGGAAGCAAACCCUACCCACUUCCCCCGUCAUCCCUCUCCUGGCAUAGCCUGACCUGACACUUCUCCCAGCCUGUUCCCCGAGUCCCCAGCCCUUAGUCACCGAAGCGCUGGAUCUGAGAGGCACUACCAUCUCCCCUCAGAUACACCCAGUCAUUAGUCCGGUGGCAAGGCAGAACACUGCUCUCUCCAUCCCCACUCCACCACACCCCCUACAAAGCCCCUUUGAUUCCAGGAAUGCUAGCAUGGAAAGAGGGAAGGCUCUCUCAGGCAUCUUUGUUGUCGUCCCCACCUUGGCGAUGCCUGCUCAAGAUUCCUUCCUGUGUGGGUUUGGGAUGAAAAACAUUCUUGAAAUUCUGGGGACAGGGGGCAGCUGGGGGGGGCACUGGAAUUUUUGACUUUUUUCUCUGAGCUUCCCCCUCACUUCCUAGUCUCUGGAGUGGAGGAGGAUGGGCAUAGCAGGGUUUGUUCUUCCAGGCAAGACAUGGCUAAAGUGGCGUCAGAGUGGGUAGCAAUAAGCUGAUCAACAAAGGCAGAGAGAGGCGCACACAUUAGGAGGAAAAAAUACCCACAAAGAGAGAGAGCCAGAGCGAAAAAUACAGAGUGGCUGAGAAGUAGUUAGCGAGACAGCCAUGCUUUUGUCAUGGGGUCUGGAUUCAUGGAACUGGGAUACAGGAUGGAGAGGGACAAUGGGGGAACCCCGACAAGAGGACCGCAAGGAGGAAGUGCAAAGAAUGGACUUUUAGGACUUAGCUCUAGCCCGACUUCAAUUUAACAGGUCCUUACUGAGAAACAACGGCUUUGCCUAAGGCUUUACGGUUUACACAAGUACUUUGGCUCACUUGAUCAUUAAAAACGACCCUAGAAGAUGGAAGUAGUGGUGACAUACAUAACAAAUCUGCAAAUGCCACAAACCUGGAAGCAUCAGUUAACAUGUUGGACGACAGAGUCAGGAUCCGGAAAGAUCUUGCCAGGCUGAAAUGAAAAAUGAAAUUUUAUUUCCCUUCAAUGGACCUGUGAUAUCAUCAACAUAUCGAGGUUUUGUCAUCCAAUAUGUCAGCUGACCCUCAGUUCUGUGUUAACUACUGAUCUGAAGAAGAAAACUAUGUAGCUCUUAAAGUCACCGAUGUUUAAUAGCCCAGGCCUAGUAUAGAUCCCGGAGGAACUCUACAGUAGACCUGCCACCAGGCUGACAUUGAACUAUUAAUGACUACUUUUUAUGAUUAGUUAUUUCAACCAUUUCCAAAUGUAUCUCUUGGUAUUAUGGUCUAGGUCAUACUUCUCCAUGUAUUCCACAAAAAUAGUGAGAGAUACUGUAUCAAAGGCUUUUUGAAAAUCUAGGUCAACUCUCUGUAGCAAUCUCCUGAGCUAUCA